Molecule: ribosomal RNA, 253 nt
Filed under: uncultured bacterium
Lineage: Bacteria
Description: partial 16S ribosomal RNA
Rfam family: Bacterial small subunit ribosomal RNA
Source: RNAcentral
UACGUAGGGUGCGAGCGUUGUCCGGAAUUAUUGGGCGUAAAGAGCUCGUAGGCGGUUUGUCACGUCUGCUGUGAAAUCCCGAGGCUCAACCUCGGGCCUGCAGUGGGUACGGGCAGACUGGAGUGCGGUAGGGGAGAAUGGAAUUCCUGGUGUAGCGGUGAAAUGCGCAGAUAUCAGGAGGAACACCGGUGGCGAAGGCGGGUCUCUGGGCCGAUACUGACGCUGAGGAGCGAAAGCGUGGGGAGCGAACAGG